This 253-nucleotide ribosomal RNA is filed under the name uncultured bacterium. RNAcentral describes it as "partial 16S ribosomal RNA". It matches the Rfam family "Bacterial small subunit ribosomal RNA", at positions 524 to 776 of the family's 1533-position model. The record is from RNAcentral.
UACGUAGGGUGCAAGCGUUGUCCGGAAUUAUUGGGCGUAAAGAGCUCGUAGGCGGUCUGUCGCGUCGGCUGCGAAAACCCGGAGCUCAACUCCGGGCCUGCAGUCGAUACGGGCAGACUGGAGUUCGGCAGGGGAGACUGGAAUUCCUGGUGUAGCGGUGAAAUGCGCAGAUAUCAGGAGGAACACCGGUGGCGAAGGCGGGUCUCUGGGCCGAUACUGACGCUGAGGAGCGAAAGCGUGGGGAGCGAACAGG